This is a long non-coding RNA of Hypomesus transpacificus, 802 nucleotides long. RefSeq lists it as uncharacterized. Lineage: Eukaryota; Metazoa; Chordata; Actinopteri; Osmeriformes; Osmeridae. The transcript has 3 exons. The record is from RefSeq and is a predicted model, not a curated record.
AUGUAGACUUGUACUUCUCAGUAUACUUACGCGUACAGACCUUCUUUUUACAGUCAUUGGUACAGACAGGCAGGCAUCAUAUUUCAGAAUGAGUUGCAUUUUAUGAGUCCCAGCUGUGAUCUUCUCACAAUGUUGUAGAUGUCUGUGCUUUAAACAGAAUAGGUUUAAGGAAACCCACCGAAUCUACAAGAGCAAUGUCAUGCUCGUAAUAGAGAUUCUUUGAGUCAGUAAUGGGAGGCUGAUGAUUCCCUUUUACAGUGCAUCAGUCACAGGGGGGCUGUGUCUCCUUUGAGAGGGAAUGGCUGGAAGGACCUGGACAGUCCUCAGAGGGUCUCCAUUCAACAUGGGCAAGAAAGAGCAGAGGGACUGGCUUUGGGGUAUCCCAGACCUUUGUGACUUUGAGGUGACAGGUGGGGGGAGUCCCCCUGAACCCCGACCCAAGGUGUUGAGGGGCAAGGACUUGGACUUCUUCACUCCUUUGGAGACUUGGUCGGGUGGCAAAGAAACUGCAAUGGGAAAUUCAAAUAAUACAUUUGGGUAAUCUGCUGAUGAAAGUAUCAAAAAACAAGUAUCCACACAACAGUACUUUUCUUUCAGUACAAAAGCCUUCACAUAAACACCCAGUGGACAGGAAAAAUGCCAUUAGUGGUGGUGAGAAAAAGGUAUACUUACACCGGUGGGUACAGUGAUCACGAAUGGGAGCUAAACUGUUGCGUGUAAGAGCAGUAUCCCUCAUCUUCAACCUGUCCAGUGGUAGCAGGUGUGUCUUUGGAGCUGUGAAAAAACAUGUAAUUUAGAUCUG